GAUGAACGCUGGCGGCGUGCUUAACACAUGCAAGUCGAACGGAAAGGCCCAAGCUUGCUUGGGUACUCGAGUGGCGAACGGGUGAGUAACACGUGGGUGAUCUGCCCUGCACUUCGGGAUAAGCCUGGGAAACUGGGUCUAAUACCGGAUAGGACCACUUCUUGGAUGUUGUGGUGGACAGUUUUUUCGGUGUGGGAUGAGCUCGCGGCCUAUCAGCUUGUUGGUGUGGUAAUGGCCUACCAAGGCGUCGACGGGUAGCCGGCCUGAGAGGGUGUACGGCCACAUUGGGACUGAGAUACGGACCAGAUUCCUACGGGAGGCAGCAGUGGGGAAUAUUGCACAAUGGGCGCAAGCCUGAUGCAGCGACGCCGCGUGGGGGAUGACGGCCUUCGGGUUGUAAACUCCUUUCGCUAGGGACGAAGCGUUUUGUGACGGUACCUGGAGAAGAAGCACCGGCUAACUACGUG
Molecule: ribosomal RNA, 467 nt
Filed under: uncultured bacterium
Lineage: Bacteria
Description: partial 16S ribosomal RNA
Rfam family: Bacterial small subunit ribosomal RNA
Source: RNAcentral